AUGACCGAACCAGGGUCACACAAUGGUGGAGGGAAGAUGCAAUGUGGUGAAACCCCUCGGGGGUGCCCCGAGGGGAUGCUUGGGAAAUGUGGGGUGAGACAAGGGCCCCUUCUGGGUUUUGCGGCUUCACAGAGCUGGGAGCUGCUGCCCUCCUCAAACAGAGCUAUCAUGGCAGCCAGGAUCCCGGGCAUUGCCUCCUGCUUCCACCCCUCAGCUGUGACGCUUAGGCUGGCCCUGUGGGGCCAUUCCUCUCUCCCCUUGCUGGGGCCACUGGGGUCAGAGAGCCUAGGAGUGCCUCAAACUACUGCUCGUCAAAUCCAGAGACGCCAGGGAAAUCACGGAAGUGCUCAGCCCAUGGACUGGGGGACAGACGGCCGCCUCAUCGCCUGUCUCCGUGGACGGCCUUGCACCUGCUUCAAGCGGAGAAUCAGAGCAACCUAGGAGGCUGUCCACAAGCUCCCCGCCCACCUGCUCGUUUGCUUUCACAGUCUUCAUCUUCUCUCCUUGCACGCUGGACCGACCACCCACAUCCAGCCCUUGGGUACCAGAUCCCGUCUCAUCCCUCCUGCUCUGAAGACACUACUCAAGCAAGUUCCCAUCCUCCUCGACACAUCAGGUCUUCCUUUCUCUAUGGUUCACCCCCAUCCACAUUCUUCCAUAUCUGCUUCUCUCUCCUCUUGUGACCCCACUUUCCCUCCACCUGCCACCCCCUUCUCCUCCUUCCUUUUGUAGCCUAGGUCCUGGAGAACACCGCCUACUCACACUGUCUCCAACUUCUCUCUGCCAAACCCCUCCUUUUCCCCUCCCUGCCUUAUUUUUUCUCCUUAUACCUGUCUUGCUACAGAACCUUACUCGUUUCGCUGGUGCCGGCUGCCUCCCUAGAAUUAAUCUCCCUGAAGGUAGGGACUGGGUCUACUUCAUUCAUGGCUGUCAUCUGACGAUCUAGAGCAGUGCUGGUCUAGAGCAGGGGCCAGAUAAAUAUUUG
Molecule: long non-coding RNA, 985 nt
Filed under: Capra hircus (goat)
Lineage: Eukaryota; Metazoa; Chordata; Mammalia; Artiodactyla; Bovidae
Description: lncRNA (ENSCHIG00000005026.1)
Source: RNAcentral